AACCGGGGCCCCUCGGGGCCACGUUCGGUAGAGAUGACACGAUUUACCGGGACAAAAGUCAUCCUAAAUCGGCGCUUUAGUUUUUGUGAAAACGCCAGGGAUUUGUCUGCCUGAUCCAAACAUACAGCAUUAGGGAGGAGGGGGGAUCAAACGCACACGCACGCGCUCUCAGGAUGGAGAGUUUGACCUCGUGCCACAAUUUCAUCCCAAACACAGCUUCUUCUUCUUCUUCUUCUUCUUCUUCUUUCUGCACCAAAGCGACGCGGGCGGAUCGGUAAGCGGGAGAGAAACGAUGCACGCGCCUGUUUUUAUGAAGAUCAUUAUUGGUAUUAUUAUUUACUGACUGUUGUUGUUGUUGUUGUUGCGAGCUCACAAGUUGCGCGGCACUCACCCUCCGUGCAGACCAGGAGCGUCCAGGCUAUCCAGAGGUCCGAGUUAUGGAACUUCACCAUGGCUCCUUCAACCGGUCCUCCGCUUCGGCCCGACGGAACCACGAUCUCAGCUCGGCUCACGGUUCCCCGGGCGACAAGUAACAGGUCCUCCCGGUGCCGGGAGACAUGGGCGCAGCCCGCCGCGGGGUCUCUUUACGCGCCGCGCGCCGGCGACGCUUCCCGAAAGACGGGGUGAAACGUUCCGAGUGAGGGGUGGAGGAUCGGUCGGGAUGCGACCUGUUCUUUCUCGUCGGACCUUUUCGUCUUUGCCAGACGUUCCCUGUGUUGCUUUAUUAAUUAACCGGAUUCUGCCAGUUGAAGAUUUAACCUGGCCAAUGGAACCGAUCUUGAUGAGCCUCCUCCUUCUUCACCUCCUCUUCACUCGCAGCCGCACGCAUGCAAAAGAAACAGAUGAGGAACAAUCCUGGGAGGAAGAAGGAGUGAUGGUGAUACACGCUGGAUCCACACAGUGUGUCUCAGACAGUGUUGAGUCGUGACGCCGACGAGUAAAAAACAUGACGUCAUGACUUUGUAAAUUUGGUUAAACUCUUUCCCUGAGUAGGGACCAUGAUAUUUGUGCGUCUUUGUCAUCUCACCUUGUCGUCAUCACUCUCAGCGCAAGAGGACUUCUAGAAAGAAGAUAUCAUAUCAGAGCAUGAAGGAGAGGACGAGUCCUGUAAAGAGAA
Long non-coding RNA from Gasterosteus aculeatus aculeatus (three-spined stickleback), 1117 nucleotides. NCBI's taxonomy places the organism in Eukaryota, Metazoa, Chordata, Actinopteri, Perciformes, Gasterosteidae. The record is from Ensembl.